This 253-nucleotide ribosomal RNA is filed under the name uncultured bacterium. RNAcentral describes it as "partial 16S ribosomal RNA". It matches the Rfam family "Bacterial small subunit ribosomal RNA", at positions 524 to 776 of the family's 1533-position model. The record is from RNAcentral.
UACGGGGGGGGCAAGCGUUGUUCGGAAUUACUGGGCGUAAAGGGCUCGUAGGCGGCCAACUAAGUCAGACGUGAAAUCCCCAGGCUCAACCUGGGAACUGCGUCUGAUACUGGUUGGCUUGAAUCCGGGAGAGGGAUGCAGAAUUCCAGGUGUAGCGGUGAAAUGCGUAGAUAUGUGGAGGAACACCGAUGGCGAAGGCAGCCCCCUGGGUUAACACUGACGCUCAUGCACGAAAGCGUGGGGAGCAAACAGG